Long non-coding RNA from Sebastes umbrosus (honeycomb rockfish), 2804 nucleotides. RefSeq lists it as uncharacterized. The record is from RefSeq and is a predicted model, not a curated record. Lineage: Eukaryota; Metazoa; Chordata; Actinopteri; Perciformes; Sebastidae. The transcript is spliced from 2 exons.
AUAUAUAUUUAACUCGAAGGAACCUAUUCUGUAAAAAAUCAGUCGGUCCAUCAUUAAUGUCUUUUUUAGCUGGAGGAUGAAGGUGAACUGUCCCUUUAACAGGUGCGUUGCGUUCGCAGCGCGUGUGCGUGAUGACGUCACCCGGAAGAGAGCCCAGUGUUGCUACGUGAUGGUUGCGAGGAGACCGGAGGAGUCGGGUCCAUGGCGGGUGACUGGAGUUGUCUUCGGAGGAGAUGGACUGUCUGUGUCCUGUCCUUUCUGACGAGGGAGGUAAAGCGUGGAAGAGACUCUGUGGAGGCUGGCUGCUGCUGGACUCACUUUUCUGGACGGCGUUUGGAUUUUACGGGAAGCGGAUCUUCGGCACGGAGGAGGCGCGGCGGAGAAGUUAUUCGGCUUCUGCGGUUGGUCUGCUGGCGUCGGGCUGAUUGGACGUGGUUCGUCCUGAUUUCGCCGCGAUUAGAUCGUUGUCCGAUGGGGGAUGCGUGAGACGAAGACCGUACUCAAGAUGAGUUUCUGAACGGGGGUCCAUCUGUCCGGCUGUAAAGUCUUCCUCCUCCUCCUCCUCCUCCUCCUCCUCCUGCAGUGGUUGGUUGCUGGUGAGUCCUGUUCAGUGUGUUUUCAUGGCAGCCAUAUUUGGUGUUAAAUUUAAAUUACAUGUUGAUGGGUUGAUGAGGAAGAAAGAUGCAGAAAUAGAGAGAAUAGAGACAUUCAUAAGUGUGAAUACAGUCCUUUAUGUUGAGUUUUAUUGAGAUAUGCAGAUGAAGAAGUAGAGAAAUAUAGAGAGAUAUUGUUGAGUUUGAUGCAGAUCAAAGAUCUAAUAGGAGAAACUAUUAAAAUAUAUGAUAGACACAUUUUUACAGUUAUACAUAGAGAAAUAUAGAAAUGAAGAGUAUGUAUAGAACCACAUAUGCAGCUACUUAUAUAUACAUAUUCAAAGAGAUAUACUAGAUAAUACACAGCUUAAUUGAGAUAAAACAGACUAAAUAUAGAGAUUUAUUUACACGUCGUGGUAAAAUAGGGAUUUAUAGACAUACAUAUGUAAGGUAAUAUACAAAAAAAUGACAUGUUGAGAUUUUAUAGAGUUAUAGGUAAGAUAACAAUGAUUAAUUAGUUAUUAGAGAUAAUAUAGGCAUUGAAAUUGAUGCAGUAUGUGGAGCUGAAACAGAGAUUUGCAUAGAGAAAACUUUAUUUAUAGAAAUUUAUAAAUACACAUUAUACACAUACAAAACAAUAUUUUUGUUGUUUAUAAAUUAAUUCUUCAUUUAAUUUAACAGAGCUUCAUAAAGUAGAGUUAUACAGAGACACAAACAAGACAUGCUGCUGUUUUAAAUAUAUAUACAAAUUUUAUAUUAGUACAGAUAAUACAGACAUUAAAAUAAUUACAGUAUAUAUAAACAUAUAGAGAUGAGAGAAUAAUUUAUUUGAAAUAAAACAGAUGUGUAGAGGUAGUAUGGAGAAUUAUAGAGAUACAUAAAACACAAACAUAUAUAGAGAUAUAAAUACUUAUGUAGAUCAUUUUGAGUUUGUUGGUUGGAGAAACAGUAUGUAAACAUAAUAAAGCUAUUUAUAUAGACAUAUGCUGAGAUAAUAGUAAUAGAUAUAAAACAAAUGUCUUUAUAGGGGGUGUUUGUGGGAGAAAAUAGGUAUAGUGCAUCAAAAUAAGAGCUUCAUAUAUGCACAGAUAAUACACAGAAGAGAUUCAUACACAGAGAUAAAAUAUAUACAUUUUAAUUUGUUUUAUAAGAUGUAGAGAUAAUUAGAAAUUAAAAUGUUAUAAAAAAGAGUUGACGUAUUGUAGAUGAGUAUAGUGAUACAUAAAGAAGAACACGUAAAAAUGUCUAUAGAUCCAUUGUAUAUAUAGUUAUUAUAUAUAAAUAUAUAGAGAUAUUAUAUGCAUUUGUAGAGAUUAAAUAGAGAUGAUGCAGAUAUAUGAAGGCAACUCUUUUAUUUUAAUUCAAAUAUAUUGUACAUAUUUUUUUAGUUUUUUUGUAUUUGUAUUGUUAUUUUCUUCUAUUCUAUAUUACUACUUACUUUUAUUUUUUAAUUUAAUUUUGUAUUAUUAUUUUCAUGUUAUGCACCAAUGCACAAAAGUAUAUUCCUUAUAUGUGAAAACCUAAUUGGCAAUAAACCAGAUUCUGAUGUGUUAUGUAACUGUAAUAAUAUAAUAAGGAUAUUACUGCAGUAUCUAUUCUUUGCCAUUUGGGAAAAAAACUGAGAAAAGUAAAGCACACUUCCAUCUAUCUUCUCGCCCAUUUCUUCUUCUUCUUCUUUCCUCCUCCUCCUCUUUCUCUUCUUCCUUUAUUCUCUUCAAGUCUUUUCAAACUUUUCGGACCUGCUGCCUCUUUUGUUACGGUUCUGUUGGCCGUGAAAUCGGCUUUUAAUGGGAACACAAUGGCCGCGUGCAGAGUCGACCCGCUGUAUUCAAAUGUGACCGCACGCCAUUAUCACUGCGUUUCCAACUCUAAAUAAACACUCAUUUAACAGCCUUUCAUCUCACACCUUUAUGAAUUUCUAUGUUCGUCAUUGUGCAAUCUUGAACUGUUGCUGAACUCCAUCUAACUGCAACGAAACAGCCGUCUCAAAAUCUGACUUUCACGGCUUUCGUACAUGACAUUUGAUUCUUAAAUCACUAACACGACCAAAAUACCUCACAAUGUGACAGGUAAAACUACAUCUAAGGUUGUAUGACUUUUUAAAGGAUUCAUUAUUACACACAAAAAAAAGAAAGCAGGAAAAAAGAAGCAAAAGUAAGUAGUGUUUAACCGAUGCUGUCAUGCGUUUAAAAAUAAAGGAUGUUGAACUCA